AGUGAACGCUGGCGGUAGGCCUAACACAUGCAAGUCGAACGGCAGCACGGGAGAGCUUGCUCUCUGGGUGGCGAGUGGCGGACGGGUGAGGAAUACAUCGGAAUCUACUCUGUCGUGGGGGAUAACGUAGGGAAACUUACGCUAAUACCGCAUACGACCGACGGGUGAAAGCAGGGGAUCUUCGGACCUUGCGCGAUUGGAUGAGCCGAUGUCGGAUUAGCUAGUUGGCGGAGUAAAGGCCCACCAAGGCGACGAUCCGUAGCUGGUCUGAGAGCAUGAUCAGCCACACUGGAACUGAGACACGGUCCAGACUCCUACGGGAGGCAGCAGUGGGGAAUAUUGGACAAUGGGCGCAAGCCUGAUCCAGCCAUACCGCGUGGGUGAAGAAGGCCUUCGGGUUGUAAAGCCCUUUUGUUGGGAAAGAAAUCCAGCUGGCUAAUACCCGGUUGGGAUGACGGUACCCAAAGAAUAAGCACCGGCUAACUUCGUGCCAGCCGCCGCCGUAA
This 506-nucleotide ribosomal RNA is filed under the name uncultured bacterium. RNAcentral's name for it is "partial 16S ribosomal RNA". It matches the Rfam family "Bacterial small subunit ribosomal RNA", at positions 29 to 523 of the family's 1533-position model. The record is from RNAcentral.